Molecule: long non-coding RNA, 716 nt
Organism: Ipomoea triloba (trilobed morning glory)
Lineage: Eukaryota; Viridiplantae; Streptophyta; Magnoliopsida; Solanales; Convolvulaceae
Exons: 2
Source: RefSeq, a predicted model, not a curated record
GCCGGUUUUGUAGGGUUCCUUCGCAAUCUGCCUUCCUCGUUCGCGUUUGGACUGCUAUGUCUUCUUCCCUUCGCGUGGUGGUGUUGGUUUGAUUCCUCGCUCUACAUGAAGCAAUGGUCGACGGUGGGGGGCCGCGGUAUGGCGAAACGACGGGCUCCACAGUCCAGGGGUUCCGCUUUAGAAGGAUAUGCUGUCUGAGUUUUAUAGGACCAUUUUUCCUGGGAGGUCUAUCUUAUGUCCUGGGGUGGAUGGUAAGUGGAUGCAAAUGGCGUGGAGGGAUUCGAAGAAUAAGAUUGACUGCGGGGUGUUUCUUAUGCGUCAUAUGGAGACAUACCUCUGUUAGGGAGUGAAGAAGUGGGACUACGGGCUUGUAAAGGGUGACACUUCAGAGUUGCAUAAGUUGAUGAUGAGGUUUAUGAAGGAGCUUUCAAUUUCUGAGUACAAUAUUCACAUAUCUAGGAAUUUAAGCCGGGCAUACUAGUACAUCAAUACUCCACUUAUUCGUUCAUAGGGGAUGGGUUUCCCACUGUUAUCGGUUUUUAUCUAGUUGUUGCUAAUGGGUUAAUUAAGUACUGAUUAAUGUUUUUUGUAUUUGGGUUUUCUAAACAUCCAUUCCACUGGUUGGUGACACUAUAUGUUUUUGCGAAAUAUAGACAGUGAUGGUUUUUUGUAAUACACAUAGUGGUGGCUGAUUAUUUCAUUUUACGUUGUCGUUG